Molecule: non-coding RNA, 45 nt
Organism: Canis lupus familiaris (dog)
Lineage: Eukaryota; Metazoa; Chordata; Mammalia; Carnivora; Canidae
Source: Rfam
AAAAUGGUAUUUUUCAAUACCACAAAUAUAUUAAAGGUGAUUUGU